RNAcentral lists this unclassified non-coding RNA (226 nucleotides) under Hevea brasiliensis (rubber tree). The record is from RNAcentral. Lineage: Eukaryota; Viridiplantae; Streptophyta; Magnoliopsida; Malpighiales; Euphorbiaceae.
UUCCCAAGUGUUUUCCCCAGUUGAUGAAGCAAAAAGGGAGGAGGAGGUGUUUCUUGGAGUUACAGAACCAAAUAAUCUAUGUAAAGCAGUAGAGGAGAUUGUAGAACAGGAACCUUUAAACAAAAACCAUGUUCCCAGCAAUGCUAUGGAGCCUGAACCGGCAAGUUUAGCUAACGACUUCGUAGAUGGCAACGGGGAGGACCUAGAAAUGAUAAAGCAUCUCGAG